Molecule: ribosomal RNA, 492 nt
Filed under: uncultured bacterium
Lineage: Bacteria
Description: partial 16S ribosomal RNA
Rfam family: Bacterial small subunit ribosomal RNA
Source: RNAcentral
AGUGAACGCUGGCGGUAGGCCUAACACAUGCAAGUCGAACGGCAGCACAGUAAGAGCUUGCUCUUACGGGUGGCGAGUGGCGGACGGGUGAGGAAUACAUCGGAAUCUACUUUUUCGUGGGGGAUAACGUAGGGAAACUUACGCUAAUACCGCAUACGACCUACGGGUGAAAGCAGGGGAUCUUCGGACCUUGCGCGAUUGAAUGAGCCGAUGUCGGAUUAGCUAGUUGGCGGGGUAAAGGCCCACCAAGGCGACGAUCCGUAGCUGGUCUGAGAGGAUGAACAGCCACACCGGGACUGAGAAACGGCCCAGACGCCUACGGGAGGCCGCAGUGGGGAAUGUUGGAAAAUGGGCGGAAGCCUGACCCAGCAAAGCCGGGGGGGGGAAAAAGGCCUUCGGGUUGGAAAACCCUUUUGGUGGGAAAGAAAAAGUGGCGGCUAAACCCCGGCCUUUUUGACGGUACCCAAAAAAAAAGCCCCGGCUAACUACGUG